RNAcentral lists this ribosomal RNA (406 nucleotides) under uncultured bacterium. RNAcentral describes it as "partial 16S ribosomal RNA". It matches the Rfam family "Bacterial small subunit ribosomal RNA", at positions 30 to 526 of the family's 1533-position model. The record is from RNAcentral.
AUUGAACGCUGGCGGCAGGCCUAACACAUGCAAGUCGAGCGAGCGGCGGACGGGUGAGUCAUGGAGGGGGAUGUGCCCGAUAGAGGGGGAUAAAUAGUGGAAACGGUGGCUAAUACCGCAUACUCAGGGAUGAACCAAUAUGGGAUUAGCUUGUGGGUGAGGUAACGGCUACACUAGGCGACGAUCCCUAGCUGGUCUGAGAGGAUGAUCAGCCACACUGGAACUGUGACACGGCCCUGCCUCCUGCGGGAGGCAGCAGUGGGGAAUAUUCCGCAAUGGCCGCAAGCCUGAUGCAGCCAUGCCGCGUGAAUGAAGAAGGCCUUCGGGUUGUAAAAUACUUUCGGUCGGGAGGCGUUACCGACAGAGGAAGCCCCGGCUAACUCCGUGCCAGCAGCCGCGGUAAUAC